This 481-nucleotide ribosomal RNA is filed under the name uncultured bacterium. RNAcentral describes it as "partial 16S ribosomal RNA". It matches the Rfam family "Bacterial small subunit ribosomal RNA", at positions 28 to 507 of the family's 1533-position model. The record is from RNAcentral.
GAUGAACGCUGGCGGCGUGCUUAACACAUGCAAGUCGAACGAAGCAUUUGCGACAGAUUUCUUCGGAAUGAAGUUGCUUAUGACUGAGUGGCGGACGGGUGAGUAACUCGUGGGUAACCUGCCUUGUACUGGGGGAUAGCAGCUGGAAACGGCUGGUAAUACCGCAUAAGCGCACAAUGUUGCAUGACAUGGUGUGAAAAACUCCGGUGGUAUAAGAUGGACCCGCGUCUGAUUAGCUAGUUGGUGAGAUAACAGCCCACCAAGGCGACGAUCAGUAGCCGACCUGAGAGGGUGACCGGCCACAUUGGGACUGAGACACGGCCCAGACUCCUACGGGAGGCAGCAGUGGGGAAUAUUGCACAAUGGAGGAAACUCUGAUGCAGCGACGCCGCGUGAGUGAAGAAGUAAUUCGUUAUGUAAAGCUCUAUCAGCAGGGAAGAUAGUGACGGUACCUGACUAAGAAGCUCCGGCUAAAUACGUG